CGGGGCGUAGCGCAGUUUGGUAGCGCGCUUGGUUCGGGACUAAGAAGUCGCUGGUUCAAAUCCAGUCGCCCCGA
Molecule: transfer RNA, 74 nt
Filed under: bacterium
Lineage: Bacteria
Also listed under: 3 other names
Description: tRNA-Pro
Rfam family: tRNA
About the family: Transfer RNA (tRNA) molecules are approximately 80 nucleotides in length. Their secondary structure includes four short double-helical elements and three loops (D, anti-codon, and T loops).
Source: RNAcentral